Molecule: long non-coding RNA, 999 nt
Filed under: Nicotiana benthamiana
Lineage: Eukaryota; Viridiplantae; Streptophyta; Magnoliopsida; Solanales; Solanaceae
Description: long non-coding RNA (NBEN_LNC032712)
Source: RNAcentral
UGCUCCCUCUUUAGUUGAUUUCAAAAAGGGGGAGAAAUAUAUAAUAUGCUAUAUGCUAUCUUGUGCAAGAUGUAUAAUAUGCUAUCUUGUGCAGGAUGUAUAAGUGUGCAGGGCGACUAAGUAUUAUAUGCACAGGUCAAGUCGACUAAGUAUUAUCUCACUAUGCUAUGGCAUAGCAAACUGAAAAGGCAAGUCGACUAGCGUAAGCACCUAUUUGCCAGACAAUUGUUCGAUAUUUCUUUACAGGUACCAGUCGACUGCACCUAAUGAGGGGGAGAACACAAAGACUGCACAUACACAUGGGGAGAUCUCGUCACGUUGACUACUCAACUGAAUAUAAAUAUGGAAGUCAACUAAUGUUUAUUCCAGUGUAUUCAUUUUGCCAUCAACAAAAAAGGAGAGAUUGUUAGAUUAGAUUUUAGUGAUGCAAUUAAUAUACAUGUGCAGAUAUUCAAGGAGGAAAGCGGAAUCACUGAAGCAUGGAUAAAAGGCAAGCGAAGCAAGGAUAAAAGACACGCUACCAUCUCACUAUAUCAAGGAAGCAAGAUUGAAGCAUUAAACAAGGAAGGGAAUAUUCAUGAAGAGAAGCCGUUGGCACACAAGGAGAAGAUCAGCAUCACAUCGUCAAAUCAGGAAGUUUCCCAUGAUUCUUGGGAAAUCAGAUACAUCCCCAAAUCUCAUGAAAAUCAUUGAAGAUUCCUUAACGGCUUAUUUGAAUGAACUACAAGACUGGAAGGCCGCCAUCUCCGUCAAUCACAUCUCCAGAAAAAAAAAAGGAAAGAGAUUUUCAUCAAAGCAACGAUCAGCUUUAUUCUUGCAAGGAAUCAACAACCUCCAAGGAUCAAAUCCCUUGGGUUGAUAAGUCUCCGCCAUAGUCCUGCUUUAUAAAUAUCAUCGUGCCUUGUACCAUCCAUAUACUUUGAACACACCAGAACAACCCUCUUCAUUUUACUGAAAACAAGCAUAGUAGUCUAGUUAGAUUCAUUGUGUAACAAGUCA